Molecule: ribosomal RNA, 807 nt
Filed under: uncultured bacterium
Lineage: Bacteria
Description: bacterial SSU rRNA
Rfam family: Bacterial small subunit ribosomal RNA
Source: RNAcentral
AGAGUUUGAUCAUGGCUCAGAUUGAACGCUGGCGGCACGCUUAACACAUGCAAGUCGAACGGCAGCAGCAUUGGGGUAACCUAAUGGCUGGCGAGUGGCGGACGGGUGAGUAAUACGUAGGAAUCUGCCUUAGAGAGGGGGAUAACUCGGGGAAACUCGAGCUAAGACCGCAUACGCUCUGUGAUGAGAGUUACGGAGGAAAGGAACCUUUCGGGGUUUUGCUCUAAGAUGAGCCUACGACGGAUUAGCUAGUUGGUGGGGUAAAGGCCUACCAAGGCGAUGAUCCGUAGCUGGUCUGAGAGGAUGGUCAGCCACACUGGGACUGAGACACGGCCCAGACUCCUACGGGAGGCAGCAGUGGGGAAUAUUGGACAAUGGGGGAAACCCUGAUCCAGCGAUGCCGCGUGUGUGAAGAAGGCCUGCGGGUUGUAAAGCACUUUAGUUGGUGAGGAAAGGUGUGCUUUUAAUAGAGGUGCAUUAUGACGUUAGCCAAAGAAUAAGCACCGGCAAACUCUGUGCCAGCAGCCGCGGUAAUACAGAGGGUGCAAGCGUUAAUCGGACUUACUGGGCGUAAAGGGUGCGUAGGCGGGAGCUUAAGUUAGUUGUGAAAGGCCUGGGCUUAACCUAGGAACUGCAAUUAAGACUGGGCAUCUAGAGUUGAGUAGAGGGGAGCGGAAUUUCCGGUGUAGCGGUGAAAUGCGUAGAUAUCGGAAGGAACACCUGUUGCGAAGGCGGCUCUCUGGACUCAAACUGACGCUGAGGCACGAAAGCGUGGGUAGCGAACAGGAUUAGAUACCCUAGUAGUCC